Molecule: long non-coding RNA, 199 nt
Filed under: Daucus carota (carrot)
Lineage: Eukaryota; Viridiplantae; Streptophyta; Magnoliopsida; Apiales; Apiaceae
Description: long non-coding RNA (DCAR_LNC006249)
Source: RNAcentral
ACUCUUCCUCCUCCCUCCCGACUGAUUCUCCCUCCCUCCCUCCUCCCUCCCUCCUCACUCCGUCACUCUGCAUCCACGCUGCCUCCGCCGCAUCUCUGGUGUCUCGCAUCUCUCACAUAUUUGCCUCUGCAAAUUAGGGUUCUAAUUGAACCCCCAAAUUGAAUGAAGCACCAGAUUGGUGCUUUGAGAACCCGCAUUU